UAACGCGAAGAACCUUACCUGGGUUUGACAUACACCGGAAAACCGUAGAGAUACGGUCCCCCUUGUGGUCGGUGUACAGGUGGUGCAUGGCUGUCGUCAGCUCGUGUCGUGAGAUGUUGGGUUAAGUCCCGCAACGAGCGCAACCCUUGUCAUUAGUUGCCAUCAUUUAGUUGGGCACUCUAAUGAGACUGCCGGUGACAAGCCGGAGGAAGGUGGGGAUGACGUCAAGUCCUCAUGGCCCUUAUGACCAGGGCUUCACACGUCAUACAAUGGUCGGUACAGAGGGUAGCCAAGCCGCGAGGUGGAGCCAAUCUCACAAAACCGAUCGUAGUCCGGAUUGCACUCUGCAACUCGAGUGCAUGAAGUCGGAAUCGCUAGUAAUCGCAGAUCAGCAACGCUGCGGUGAAUA
This 409-nucleotide ribosomal RNA is filed under the name uncultured bacterium. RNAcentral's name for it is "bacterial SSU rRNA". It matches the Rfam family "Bacterial small subunit ribosomal RNA", at positions 957 to 1368 of the family's 1533-position model. The record is from RNAcentral.